AUCCACUUGAUGAUGGUUGAUAUAUUCUAUAUAUGUCGGUUAAGUCUAGGUUAUUGAUUGUGUCAUUGAGUUCUAUAGUUUCUUUAUUCAGCUUUUGUCUGGAGGAUCUGUCUAAUGGCGAGAGCGGUGUGUUGAAGUCACCCAUAAUUAUUGUGUUGUGGUCAAUUUGACUCUUGAACUUGAGGAGAGUUUGUUUUAUGAACGUUGCUGCACCAUUAUUUGGUGCAUAUAAAUUGAUAAUUGUUAUGUCUUGUUGGUGAAUAGUUCCUUUUAACAGGAUAUAGUGUCCUUCUUUAUCCCUUUUGAUUAACUUAGGUUUGAAGUUGAUUUUAUUCGAUAUGAGUAUGGCCACUCCUGCUUGCUUCCGAGGGCCAUGUGAGUGGUAUGAUUUUUCCCAACCUUUCACCUUCAGCCUGUGUAUGUCUUUUCCUAUCAUAUGAGUCUCCUGAAGGCAGCAUAUUGUUGGAUUUGUUUUUUUGAUCCAGGUUACCAGCCUGUGUCUCUUGAUUGGUGAGUUUAGUCCAUUAACAUUUAAGGUUACAAUUGAAAUAUGAUUUGUACUUCCAGUCAUGUUUAUUUAUUUAUUUAUUUUAGUUUGGCUAGUUUUUACUUUUUGGUUGUUUUCCUCCCCCUUUACUGAGAUACCUCCCGCUGUUGGUUUUGGGCACUGUUUUUCCAUUCCUCUUCUUGUAGAAUUUUGCCCAAAAUGCUUUGCAGUGCUGGUUUUCUGGCUGCGGAAUCUUUUAGCUUUUGUUUAUCGUGAAAGAUUUUAAUUUCAUUGUCAAAUCUGAAGCUUAAUUUUGCUGGAUACAGUAUUCUUGGUUGGAAUCCAUUAUUUUUCAGCGUUUGAAAUACAUUGUUCCAGGAUCUUCUCGCUUUCAAAGUCUGUGAUGAAAAAUCAGCCGUUAACCUAAUUGGUUUACCCCUGAAUGUAAUCUGCCUCCUUUCCCUCGUAGCUUUUAAUAUUCUCUCCUUGUUCUGUAUGUUGGCUAUCUUCAUAAUUAUAUGUCUUGGAGUUGGCCUAUUACAGUUUUGGAUGUUUGGGGUCCUGUAGGCUUCCAGGAUUUGGCAAUCCAUUCCAUCUUUCAUCUCUGGGAAGUUUUCUAGGAUUAUUUCAUUCAAUAGGUUGUCCAUUCCUUUGGCUUGAAUCUCUGUGCCUUCUUCUAUCCCAAUGACUCUCAAAUUUGGUUUUUUGAUGAGAUCCCAUAUCUCUUGGAUAGAUUGCUCGUGAGAUUUAAGCAUCUUUUCAGUAUUGACUAUAUUCUUUUCAAGUUGAUAAACUUUGUCUUCAUUAUCUGAUGUUCUGACUUCUACUUGAUCUAGUCUAUUUGUAAUAUUCUCGUUAGCAUUUUUAAUCUGGUUUAUGGUUUCUUGCAUUUCUAAAAUCACUGUUUGGUUUUUUUUUAAGAUCUCUAUCUCCUGGUAAAGCUCGUUCUUUGCAGUUUGAAUUUGUUUGUUUAGUUGGUUUUCAAAAUAUACUUUCAAUUCUUGGAUUUGCUGUCUCAUGUCUUCUCUAAAAUUCCGUUCCAUCUGAGUUAGGUAUGCCUUGAUUUCUUUUCCUGUCCAUGUUUCUGAUGCUUCUAGGUCCUCCUGUAGAUUUAAGUUGUCCUGCAUUAUCUGUACUCCUUUUUUCCCUGGUUUUUUCAUGUUGUUCACGUUACUUUCCAGCUCUGUUUGACUGCUUUGUAACUGCUUUCUCCUAUACAUUUGUUUUGGCUUUGUUUAUAUCUGUUGUCUCUCCUUUGUG
This 1747-nucleotide long non-coding RNA is filed under the name Marmota monax (woodchuck). The record is from RNAcentral. Lineage: Eukaryota; Metazoa; Chordata; Mammalia; Rodentia; Sciuridae.